This 1370-nucleotide long non-coding RNA is filed under the name Cyanistes caeruleus (blue tit). RNAcentral's name for it is "lncRNA (ENSCCEG00000018229.1)". The record is from RNAcentral. Lineage: Eukaryota; Metazoa; Chordata; Aves; Passeriformes; Paridae.
GACCAGAACUCAUUUCCAGCAACUUGAUGCACACCUUAUGCCAUAGGCCACAGACAGCAGGAACGGAGCCGUUUAGAACCUGAUCCAAUGUAGAAAAAGGCUGUGACUGUUAUUUUAUCCCUGGCUGUCUCAAAGCACUUUCUGAAACCAAUGGUGGGACGUCUUGCUUAGACUAAACUUUUAUGUCAGUUCCUGAGCUGCCACUGUCAUGGCACAGCCACAUCUUGGUGAGACCAGAGCAGGGUAACAAGGACAACACUGCUGCGUGUCUUCGUGACAUCUGUCCCUGGCUGUAACUCUCCACUCCUUCCCUGCAGACAAAAAUGUGGCUCUGGUGACAGCUACCUCAGCACGAGGCACCUGAAUCAGCUCAGCAUUUUGCACUUGCUCUAGGUUGUGUUGCAAGAGCCUUCUUCCUACCAGUGUUAGGAAGUACCUGUGGUGCAGCUGCUGAUUCAUUCAGGGAAACGGGCUGAUUAGCCCUCAGCUGGUCGAAAAUGUGCUUCUCAUGGCUGUUGUCCUGCUGCGCUGUGGAAGUCCCUCAGGAUUCUCCAGGGCUGGGAAGGAGGACUGGCACUGCCCAUCCCACACUCCCACCCCUGCAGAGGAGAGAGGAGAAGCUGAAGGCAUUAAGCAGACAUUUGCAUCUAUAUUCUGCAAGUAGCAGAUGCAAAGGAAGAGAUUCAUUUCCCCUAACAUAAGCCAUCUAAAAAUUAAAUGCUGAUAGUCAUCUUGGAUUCUUUUUAAACCUAGAUUAAAAUAGCUGCUAUGUGCAGGUCUGCCCUGCUCUCUCCCCAGAGAUUACAGAAAGCACUCAAGUGCCAAACUUAAAUAGGGGGCUGAAAUUAAACCAGAGGUAUCCCACCCUCAGCACAACUCCUGAAUGCAUGGCCUUGUAUCCAAAGCACACUGGAAUCCCUGGAAAAAUCACGGCUGUAAUCCUGGAAGGGUGCUUCAGUCCUCUGCUGCCGCUGAGGGAUUCGGGGAGGUCAGGCUGACCUGAGCUGGUCAGAGCGACCUGCCCUGCCGGCUGCCAGCACCCCAGCAUCCAGCACCCUUCAGGACAGCACAGCAAGGUCCAUUUGCCUGGGCUCAAAUGGAGAGGCAGAAGUGGAAGCAAAGAAGGUGCUUGUGCUCCUGAUGACUGGGAUUGAUCCCUGCUGAGAUCAGUUGCUUGGGAUACUUUUACUGUCAGAUAUCCUGAGCCCUACCAGAGCAGCAUCACUCUGAAAGCAUUGGAAUGAGCAUCUCUGGGGUGCAAAGACAGGAAGUACAGUAAAAUCCUCAAAAAAGGGUCUAACAGGGUGAAGAAAAAGAAAAUACAAGGAAUUUAAAUGUGUCUGUGGCCUCUGUUUUUCACUGCUCUUCGC